GGCGACUUUUCGACGUGGAGCGAAAAAGGGAAUUGAUACACACUCCAUAGGAGCUUACACACAUAAAGGCGAAAGGUAAGUGAAAAUCCAUUUGCAACUACAAUGCAAGAACCUAGUAUAUGUGACAUAGUAAUGUUGAAAUAUCUACAUAACUUUGAUAAGAGGCUUAUAGCGCAUCAUAUGGUGGUUACGAUCAUUGAGUAUGAGAUUCCGUAACCUAUUGACAUCGAUUUUCAUUUAUGAGCAUUUUCAUAUGCAUGCACGACAUGUAACAUGGUUGAAAAUACUGCAUGCAAAAUAUGAUUUCAAAGUGAGUUUCAUUAUAAAUGUUUUAUUGACCACUACUAGGGCACCGAGGCAUGUGAGGAAUGCUUAUGUGAUAUGUUUGGCAUUGCGGGUGUUACUUCCUGGGUGAUUGCAAAGGUAGAUAGGGGAUGGGCCUUUGGUGAUCACGGGAGGGCGGACCACUCGACUAUGCCCUUGUUAUGAUUAUUGGCGCUGCUAGGUGGGAGACUUCUUGGGUGAUCAUAGGGGCAGUCAGGGGAUGGGCCUCUAGUGGUCACGAGAGGAUGGUCCACUUGUCGGUGUCGAUUUCAUACUGGCCAUUUGAUUAUUGAUAUUGAUAUUAUGCAGAGCUCUAUCCGGUGCAUAGUAGGUGGGUCAAGGGCCCAAUGAAAUGAAAGAUUUCAAGUGAAAUGAUUUCUAGUCGACUUUGAUGAAUAUUGAAAUAUGAUAUUUUUAUCGUGAUAUUUAAAGUAAAUGGCAUGGUGUCAUCUAUCGUUAUUACUCAUGUUCAGGACAUGCAUGAUUUUGCUUACUAAGCACUGGCUUAUGUAGUUCUUGCAUUGUAGGUGAACAUGGAACUACAUAGAGAGCAUGGCUAGCUGUGGAGCUCCUACAGGAUUCCAGAGUUCGAUGUACAUGGAUGACGACCUGUAGGGUUAUUUUGUAGGCUGCCAUCUAUUGGGUUAUAUUUUGGAAUCCUAUAUAGUGUAUUUUUGAAAUGGCCUGUAGACAUGUUUAUAAGCUCUGAAUAUAUAUGUUGGAUUAUGGC
RNAcentral lists this long non-coding RNA (1054 nucleotides) under Olea europaea (common olive). RNAcentral describes it as "long non-coding RNA (OEUR_LNC014402)". The record is from RNAcentral. Lineage: Eukaryota; Viridiplantae; Streptophyta; Magnoliopsida; Lamiales; Oleaceae.